Molecule: ribosomal RNA, 498 nt
Filed under: uncultured bacterium
Lineage: Bacteria
Description: partial 16S ribosomal RNA
Rfam family: Bacterial small subunit ribosomal RNA
Source: RNAcentral
GACGAACGCUGGCGGCGUGCCCAAUACAUGCAAGUCGAGCGGACGAAUCGAAAGCUUGCUUUUGAUUCGUUAGCGGCGGACGGGUGAGUAACACGUGGGCAACCUGCCCUGUAGACGGGGAUAACACCGAGAAAUCGGUGCUAAUACCGGAUAACACGAAAUGUCGCAUGACGUUUCGUUGAAAGACGGCGCAAGCUGUCGCUACAGGAUGGGCCCGCGGCGCAUUAGCUAGUUGGUGAGGUAACGGCUCACCAAGGCGACGAUGCGUAGCCGACCUGAGAGGGUGAUCGGCCACACUGGGACUGAGACACGGCCCAGACUCCUACGGGAGGCAGCAGUAGGGAAUCUUCCGCAAUGGACGAAAGUCUGACGGAGCAACGCCGCGUGAGCGAAGAAGGCCUUCGGGUCGUAAAGCUCUGUUGUUAGGGAAGAACAAGUAACGCAGUAACUGGCGUUACCGUGACGGUACCUAGCGAGAAAGCCACGGCUAACUACGUG